Molecule: non-coding RNA, 100 nt
Organism: Mycena galericulata
Lineage: Eukaryota; Fungi; Basidiomycota; Agaricomycetes; Agaricales; Mycenaceae
Source: the annotation of a GenBank genome assembly
GGCCUGGUAGUGUAACGGUAGCACGCCCGCUUUCAAUUAAAAUGCGUCGACCUUCCGAGUUAUAAAGCGGAGAUUCCCUGUUCGAUUCGGGGUCAGGCCA